UACGUAGGGGGCAAGCGUUGUCCGGAUUUACUGGGCGUAAAGCGCGCGUAGGCGGCCCGGUAAGUCCGUUGUGAAAGUCAAAGGCUCAACCUUUGAACGCCGAUGGAUACUGCCGGGCUAGAGUCCGGAAGAGGCGAGUGGAAUUCCUGGUGUAGCGGUGGAAUGCGCAGAUAUCAGGAGGAACACCAAUAGCGAAGGCAGCUCGCUGGGACGGUACUGACGCUGAGGCGCGAAAGCCAGGGGAGCGAACGGG
Molecule: ribosomal RNA, 253 nt
Filed under: uncultured bacterium
Lineage: Bacteria
Description: partial 16S ribosomal RNA
Rfam family: Bacterial small subunit ribosomal RNA
Source: RNAcentral